UUUAAUUGAAGAGUUUGAUCAUGGCUCAGAUUGAACGCUGGCGGCAGGCCUAACACAUGCAAGUCGGGCGGUAACAGGGAGAAGCUUGCUUCUCCGCUGACGAGC
RNAcentral lists this ribosomal RNA (105 nucleotides) under Morganella morganii. RNAcentral's name for it is "partial 16S rRNA. Bacterial SSU". It matches the Rfam family "Bacterial small subunit ribosomal RNA", at positions 1 to 103 of the family's 1533-position model. Lineage: Bacteria; Pseudomonadati; Pseudomonadota; Gammaproteobacteria; Enterobacterales; Morganellaceae. The record is from RNAcentral.